CCUACGGGAGGCAGCAGUGGGGAAUAUUGCGCAAUGGGCGAAAGCCUGACGCAGCGACGCCGCGUGAGGGAUGAAGGUUUUCGGAUCGUAAACCUCUGUCAGAAGGGAAGAAACUACGUUGUGCUAAUCAGCAGCGUACUGACGGUACCUUCAAAGGAAGCACCGGCUAACCCCGUGCCAGCAGCCGCGGUAAUA
This 195-nucleotide ribosomal RNA is filed under the name uncultured Desulfovibrio sp. Its description in RNAcentral is "partial 16S ribosomal RNA". It matches the Rfam family "Bacterial small subunit ribosomal RNA", at positions 338 to 525 of the family's 1533-position model. The record is from RNAcentral. Lineage: Bacteria; Pseudomonadati; Thermodesulfobacteriota; Desulfovibrionia; Desulfovibrionales; Desulfovibrionaceae.